CAUCAGAACCAAACUCAAGAGCAUAACAUUUUGUUAUUUUAAUAGGCCAUCCACCUGCCAGGAAAAAAAGAAGCAUCAAAGAGGUCCAUAGAAUCUUCCUCAUAAAGUAAGAGAGUAAGAGACGACAAAAAAGAAACAUUGGCAUGCCCAGAAAACCAUAAACGCAAUCCAAAUGAGGCCACAAAUCAAGCGCACAACAGGAAAUAGCAAGAAAAGCCAGCUACAUAGAUCAUGAAAAUCAUAACUGUGGAUAGAAUUUGAAAGUUGCUAAGUGGGUUCUGUUUUAAUGUAUUUAAUAGAGAUAUCUAAUGUACAAAAUUUGUAUAGAACAUAGACUGGCCACAUUGAAUUGGAAAUUGUUGAGUUGGCAUUGGCAUUGGUAAGAAUGAGUUACUCUGAACUGAGUUAUUUUGAAAUUACAUAAGUACUCUUUUAGUAUAGAAAACAUAGAAACCACCCAAUAGUGAAUUUAUUGAGAUUUCAACACAAAUUAUAUGUAUUUUUUAACUAAAUAAAAAAAAUACACAAACCAGGACACAUUAACACAAAUCAAAUACAAAAAUAUUAAGAAAAGACAUAUAAUUAACAAUAUACAUUUUCUUUAAGAGAGUAAGAAAGGGGAUUCCAAAACUUGAGAGCAUAUACACCUGCCAUUAGGCUACCUUGCAGGUGCAGCACAAUUCAAAUUCACAUAUACAUAUAGUCAUAUAGAGAUUAAUUAGAUAUUUUGGUUUCAAAUAAAAAUACAUCAGCAAAUACAGUUUGCAAACUACCCAAAGCAUCACCUGAUGGAUUAAGACUUGAUAUUGUUAAGAAAGAUUUGUGUAGUACCAGGGUCUGCCAUGAUGAACUU
RNAcentral lists this unclassified non-coding RNA (853 nucleotides) under Hevea brasiliensis (rubber tree). Lineage: Eukaryota; Viridiplantae; Streptophyta; Magnoliopsida; Malpighiales; Euphorbiaceae. The record is from RNAcentral.